CGUGAGCGGCGGACGGGGGAGUAACGCGUGGGUAACCGUGCCUCAUACAGGGGAGUAACAGUUGGAAACGGCUGCUAAUACCGCAUAAGCGCACAGUACCGCAUGGUACGGUGUGAAAAACUCCGGUGGUAUGAGAUGGACCCGCGUCUGAUUAGGUAGUUGGUGGGGUAACGGCCUACCAAGCCGACGAUCAGUAGCCGACCUGAGAGGGUGACCGGCCACAUUGGGACUGAGAUACGGCCCAA
RNAcentral lists this ribosomal RNA (245 nucleotides) under uncultured bacterium. Its description in RNAcentral is "partial 16S ribosomal RNA". It matches the Rfam family "Bacterial small subunit ribosomal RNA", at positions 90 to 334 of the family's 1533-position model. The record is from RNAcentral.